Bactrocera neohumeralis is the source of this 3719-nucleotide RNA transcript. It is a transcript of the gene named probable protein phosphatase CG10417, with no coding region annotated. The transcript has 9 exons. The record is from RefSeq and is a predicted model, not a curated record. Lineage: Eukaryota; Metazoa; Arthropoda; Insecta; Diptera; Tephritidae.
UUCAUUUUCGCCGCCACCGCUGCCUGCCACUAGUACGUCUGCGUCUGCAGGUCAACGCCUGGAAAAACUUUGAAAAUUGUUAAAAAAUAUUUCAAAUAACACAAUAAAUCAAAGAAAAUCGUACCAAAAGGUGCAGAAAGUGUUGGUGACAAGGAAAAACAAAAUAGUUUAGAAAAAUUUGCAGUGCUUUUGCAAUUUAUCGGUGCGAAAAAACGCCGAAGUAAUAAAAAAGAAGAAGAGCAGCUGCAAGAAGCAUCACAAGGGGACAGCAUUGCAAGCGUUGUUGCCAAAAGAAGGCGUUGGAUACACACAACGAGGAAAGCUAUCCAAAGCCAAAGACAAGGAAAGCAAAAAAUCAAGAGUCGGGGCAAAGGAAAGGCGAGAAAUAAAAUCAAUUAUUUUAGGAAGGGGUAGUAGAGUGCAGCGCAAGUUUUGUUCCCGCUUUUACCGCUCAUAAAAUACCGGCCUUAAGUGUGUAUACAUCGGUAGCUAACCUACGCUUCGAAUAUAAAGCAUUGAUUUUCCACAAUUGGAAUUUGAAUUCCUUGCUGAAGUGUUUGUGUUUUUACGUGUUAAAUAAAUUUCGUCGCUAAACUGUUUUGACGCGUUGUAUACUGCAAAAUGGGCGCGUACCUAUCCGAACCAAAAACGGACAAGGUGUCUACGGACGAGUCUAAUGAUAUAUUGACAGUGGGAGCUAGCUCUAUGCAAGGUUGGCGCAAUAAUCAGGAAGACGCUCAUAAUUCCAUUUUAAAUUUUGAUACAAAUACCUCAUUUUUUGCCGUUUACGAUGGGCAUGGGGGCGCCGAAGUGGCUGCCUAUUGUGCGGAUCAGCUACCGCAUUUUCUAAAGAAAUUGUCUACUUACAAAGAUGGCGAAUUUGAAAAGGCUUUAAAAGAAACAUUUUUGGGUUUUGAUAAAACACUGCUGGAGCCACAAGUGGUAGAGAUAUUAAAGUUUUUGGCUGGCGAAAAAGGUUUUGAUGGCGAUGAUAGCGAUGCCCAUGAGGAUGAUGAAGAUUUUGAAGAUUUGGCUGAGCUUCACGAGGAAAGUCAUUUGCCUUUAGAUGAAGUUUUGGAAAAAUAUAAAGGUGGACCAUGCAUGCCAUCGCUAAAACGUGUUAAAGAUGGAGCAACUGGUACUAAACCGCAAUCGCCUUACUUGCGUGGUAGGCGCGCAGCCGCUGUAAUAGCCGAUGCUACAAAUAAAGCAGUACUGGAUCCAGAAUCCAAACCAGAGGGAUCCUCUACAUCAGCUGCCGCCACGGCCGCUGCCAUAUCGGGCGAAAGUGGUCCCAGUUCUUCGCACAAACCAUCAUCUGUAGGUACAUCGUCAAAGACAGAUUCCAUAACUUCCGAGUCAGGUCCAAGUUCAUCAAAUAGCGGCAAUAUAGCAAAAAUGGACACAGAUGAGCCCGAGGAAGAUUCUACCGUCAGUAGCAGCAGCUCGAGUGCAAGUAAACCCACUAAUAAUGUUUCUGCCGAGCCAGAAAACAACAAACCUGAAAGUAACGCGGAAAAGAAUUCUGCAAACGGUCCUGGAACAACAGUGGCCACUGACAGUGCAUCGUCCUCGGAAAACAACAAGGAAGUUUGCCCGGAUUCCUCGCAUACCAAAGAGGUGGAACAGAAUGGUAGUGUAUCUUCAUCAGAGAAAAAGCCAAUUAAAAAACAGAAUGCUGCAAGCGCAGAAAUGGACACAACUGUUUCCGGUUCAAAUGAUGCUGCGAAGAGAAUACAAAAUGGCACCAUUGGAAGUACAUCAUGCUCUGCAGCAAAUAAACAAGUGGCUGGUAGCACUACAAUAACUUCCACCAGUAAGGAAUCCAAGAAGCUUAAGAAAACGGAUGUAAGUGGAGAGGAAGAAUCCACCGAUGAUGAUGCCGAUUACGAAGAGAAUACUGAAGAAGGUGAUGCUAGACAGAGUUUGGUGUAUUCCUCUGAAGACGAAGAAAUUGAAGAAGCUGAGAAUUCAAGUGUAUAUUCGUCGGAUGAAGAGAUUGAAGAAGAAGAGGAAGAAGAUGAAGAAACCGCACUUGCCAACGAGCAAUUCUGUGCCGAUAUGAUUGAAGAGCCCGGCAAGGAUAGUGGCUGCACUGCUGUUGUCGCACUAUUAAAUGGUCGAGAUCUAUAUGUGGCGAACGCUGGCGAUUCGCGAUGUGUAGUUUGCCGCAAUGGCAAAGCUAUCGACAUGAGUUUGGACCAUAAGCCGGAAGAUGAAGAGGAAUCAGCGCGUAUUAUAAAAGCUGGUGGUCGGGUGACUUUAGAUGGUCGUGUGAAUGGUGGCUUGAAUCUUUCCCGUGCUAUUGGAGAUCACGCCUACAAAAUGAAUUUGGAAUUGCCCGCCGAAGCGCAAAUGAUAUCUGCGUUACCGGAUGUGCGAAAACUUAUUAUCACACCAGAGGACGAAUUCAUGGUAUUGGCUUGUGAUGGCAUUUGGAACUAUUUAUCUAGCGAGGAAGUUGUCGAUUUUGUGCGUCAACGUUUGAAGGACGAUUCCAAAAAGAUGUCACAAAUAUGUGAGGAGCUUUUUGAUACAUGUUUGGCUCCUAAUACCAUUGGUGAUGGAACGGGCUGUGACAAUAUGACAGCAGUCAUUGUACGUUUUGAAUCCAAAAUUUUGGAUUUACCAACUAAACUAAGUCCCGAGGAAAUUGUGCUUAUUAAGGAUGUUACCGCUAAAACUUCUAACACUAACACAUGCGCCCCAAAGAGUGAGCAACCAUGUCUUAAACGCGCAGCCUCCCCAAGUUCCGAUGACAAUUCCAACGAAGCCGAAAAUGCCAACAAAACCAAACGUUUGAAGACUGACGAGGAAACCACCUCAACAACAACCAACACAAAUAAGUCCACAGUUGAGACAUCUGCAUGCAGUAACAGCGAUGCAGCGGCCAGUAGCAGCACUUCAGAGGCAGCGGCAGCAGUUGCAAGUAUUACGGAUCUAAAGGAUUGCGAUAGUAACACUACGGCCAGCAGCAAUGAUGCAGCGGAUACUGAUAAUAUCGCAGUAUCUUCGACGUAAAUACGUACAUAUAUAAUUUGUUAAAAGCCAGCAGCAAUUGGAGUGUGUGGAAUCCAAAAUUGGUUGACUCCAUUUAAUAUAUAAAGAAGGGAUUAUAUGUUUAAUUUUUAAGAAAAUCACAAAAUCUCGUCUGCAUGAGAGUUCUAAUUUUCACAAUGACUAAUAUUAAGAUUUUAAAGCGAUUCGAGGGAGAAUCAACAAUACCAAGUUUACAGUGGAUUCUUGUAAUACCUUUUGUACGAAAUAUUGACCAAUCCAAUAGCAACAAGAACUGGAGUAAUAUUUUCUUGAGUUCAACAUAAAAUAUACGUUUAAUUUUGGCAUUGGAAGUUGUAACGUACACUCAUUGCACUCUAAUUACACCGAUGAUACUUUAGAUCAACAGACCCAACUAUUCGUAAUUAUCACACUUUAUUGUUGCAUAUCCGUAAGCAAGACGUGCACGUACAUACAAACAUACACAGGAGUGCAUUGUCGGAAGUGAAUACUAGCGAUGGCGGAGCAGCAUUUUAAUUUUCAUAUAAUACACUUAUAUAUUUUGUAAAGUAAAUUACAGAUAACUCGUACGUAUACAUAUACAAGAAGGCAUAAUUUUAAUUAAUUUACAAAAUCAAUAUAUACACAAUGAAAUGGUAAAUAAAAUGAAAUAAAAUACUUAGUUUUUAAAUAAAGUAAGGUCCCCAACAGUUAUAAUAAAA